CUGCCUGUGAUAUUCCCAUAUUUCAGCACCAUCUGUGUCUCUUUCUCACGCUCUCUCUCCGCUCCCCGUCUCCCCGCACACGCAUGCGUCAAGCGGUAGCCUGUAACAAGAAGAUUUCCAUCAUAUCUUUCUUUACAACCCCUGAAAUUAUCGUUAGAAAAAAAUGCCCGUUUUGGGAGAAAAACCCUCCUCACCCCGACCCACAGAACAAUGUAGCCCACAGCUGAAGGACGCCUCCGACUUUUUUCAAUACAAGCGCCGACCGGAUGCCUGCAAAGAGAAAAAGCUCCUCAAAUCCUCCCAAUCGGCAGGCUAUGAUGUUCACCAGCAGCCAUGAGGGCUACCAGUGGCUCCAUGAGUCUGAACCUCAAGACUUGGUGGAAAGCCCAUGAGUCCGUGAGUCAGAAGUUGCGUCCUGAAUUAUGAAGUGGGAAACCUUCCUUGGACAAACAGCUGCAUUUGAAAUCUGAGCUGCACUGUAGGUAUUGUAAAAUCAAAAACAGAGACAACUCAACUGUGGAAGAAAAAAAAAAUAGGCCGUUAAAGAAUGUAGAAGCUUUUGAAGCCAGACACACUGAUGGAGAAAAAAAAUACAAUUCUACAAAUCUGUAUCAGUGAAUGAUUAAUUAAUUUUGGUUGAAUGAUCUGUUCCAGCCUUGUGAGAUAUCAGUUUCCAUUUCUUUCACACUUUUACAGAAGAUCUCAAGAGACCGCUAGUUCAAAAGACAGUUCAAUUUAGAGUUCCCACUGGAAAUGCUUUCAGAAAGUCUCUGCCAUACGUUGGGCUUUGAUGUGUUUUAACUGUCGUAAUCUCACUGUUCAGAGAUGGGGAAAAUAAAUUCUGUUAAUUUUU
Molecule: long non-coding RNA, 853 nt
Organism: Dicentrarchus labrax (European seabass)
Lineage: Eukaryota; Metazoa; Chordata; Actinopteri; Moronidae
Exons: 3
Source: RefSeq, a predicted model, not a curated record